Non-coding RNA from Caenorhabditis elegans, 21 nucleotides. NCBI's taxonomy places the organism in Eukaryota, Metazoa, Nematoda, Chromadorea, Rhabditida, Rhabditidae. The record is from Ensembl.
UUGUACGCCAUCGAAUCCAAU